GGACAGCUGGGGAAGUAAAUAAAGCGCACCUUCGCUAGGACCCGACAGCCUACGUACGGAGCCCCGUACCUACUGUACGUGAUGUCCUUCAGGCUAGCUAUGGACACUUGGCUGUGAGAAUUUUUGAUGGAGUGCAAACUAGAAGAAGAUGUGAUCCAGAAACUUGAAGAUUUAUGAAACUGUCAUUCCGUUAAUGACAGACAGUGACCUGGCAAAGUACAUCCCCAGUUGGAGAUAGAGUCUCCAAUGUGGCCUUCUGCAGACAAGCAAGACUGUCACAAAAAUCACCAUCCAGGAAAGAAUCCAUACUCUCAAGGCUAUGACAAAGACUGUCUGGUGGUGAGGGGAUACAUAAAAAAAAAUAGAUCAUCAAAGUGGACAGAAAAUACAAAUGCCAAAUGGAAAAGGAGAUGAAUUGAGUUUGGCUGGAUGGAUUUUGGUGGGGACAAACAGGUGAACCCCGUAAGUGGUGGAGCAACGGGGCAUCUCUCUAUUGACAAAGACCAAACAGUGGCAAAUAUCAAACUUAUGGCUAAAAAUCUUUUUUCCCCAAAGGCCUUUCAAAAAAAAAACAAAAAUCUUCCACACUGUUCAACUCAUAUUGAGAGCUCACAGAUACAUGUUAAUGUGUCCAACACAGUAGAUGAGUUGUAUAAUCAAAGCAAGGUCAAAGUUCUGCGACUUUACCUGUGCACCAAAAAGAAAACAGGACGGCAGCCCUCGGGAGUGGAGGGUGAUCAUGCAAUAAGCCAGCCCUUUGUGGUAGAUCUCACUAACAAGGAACAGAAGCAGGGCAAUAAGGAUCUGUUGGUGGAAAACAGAAAUUCAGAAUCACCAAACCACUGUGGAAUUAAUGAUGGAGCUUCCAGAAGUGGAUAUUUGAAUCUGAAUGAUACAUUACCAUGGGAUGGUCAGCUAACUGUGAGCGAAAGCGAAGAUUCUGAUGCAGUUUUUAUUGUAAGUGGGGAUGAACCAAGCCUUGAAAUACUCAUUCCAGAAAAAGAGGAUGGCGUACCUCAUAAACAGUGACUCUCUCACCGGUGCUUGCAGGGGAGGCCAGUGUUCCAGACCAAGCACUUCCUGAACCACAAUCUUGUCCUGUAACGCUGAUUGUAAGAAGAGAUCACUGUCUCACUGACUUGGUUAGUGCCUUCAAGGACCCAAACAUUAUUGCAUGUGAGGUCAACAUUAAAAUUACCAAAUGGAGAGCUUGAACAGGGGGAAGGAAGUGAUGUUUUGCGGGACUGCCUGGUAGAAUUUUGGACUGAUUUCCGUGACAGCUGCACACUGGGAGUUGAGGAGAAAGCCCCCUUCAUCAGGCAUGACUUUCAGUGUGAAGAAUGGCGGGCUGUAGCUAGAGUGUUUGUAGUAGGGUGGAAAGCUGGUUACUUCCCAGUGAAGCUUGUAGUACUUUCAGUGGACACAGGUGAAUUGCUGGAUGUACUCAAUGCACGUGAAUGCAAGCAAGUCCCUACCAAGGACACACUGCCCCAAUGUUUGGAAUUAAGUGCUGGCGUCCUGUUGUGGGUUCUGUAGCUGGUUUACUACCACCAGAAGGACUGCAUCAUGUCAUUGCACAAAUAAAACCAACUGCAAAAACAGUGAAGGAGCUUCUAAACUUGGAGAUGACAGCAGCCCAGUCAGUUUCUUGUUACCUUUCAAGAAUUUCCCUUCAGGGAUAAAUAAAGGAAUUCUGACCUGAAAAGGUACAUUGGGGAAAAUGAUUUCAAUAAUCUUCAGCUUUUCUUGCGGUUCUGUACAGGAUCCAAUCACUUGGAUAAGGCCAUACUAAUUGAGUUCAUAGAAAUGACAGAUUUCCUCCGCAGACCACAGUCCCACACAUGUAGAUAUGUACUAAAGCUGCCCAUUGGUUACUACAGCUAUCCAGGUUUUUGCAGCGAAUUUAACAGCAUUCUCACAAUGUGGGUAAUGGACGUGGUGUAGGUAACAAUAACAUGAAAGAUUUGAAAGCUCCUUGCUAGACUCAGAUGAAAAUACAAAUAAAGUGCCUGGGACAUGGUAGAUGGGAAAUCCAAGCUUGAUUCCUCCAUUAUUAUUGCGCACAAAUCAAACACAUCCACAUGACAUGGGACUGAAGUGACAACUGUGCAGCUGUCUUUACAUGUGGUCAAAUCUUCAGUCAGUGGAACAAGACAGUCUUCUGCACCCCAAAGGUGAGGGGCCAUGUACAUGACAUCAGUUAUCCCACUGGGCACGUUAGUGUUCUUUGGGGGCCUUAUACGGUGAGUAUUCCAAACAACCCUGGAUAUCAUUUAAUACCUCCUGUUGAAGAAACAAGAACAAUUAAGUCACAGCUGGCAUACAGUACAUUUUUAAACAAUGAGAGAGGAGGAUCCUGACGUCUUCUUUCCUGAUAGAAAUACCAUGUUGUUUACACAUUGUAAACACCCACCGGUAACCAUGUUUGUUUCCAGGGCCUUGCAGUUGGUCAACAAUGAAAUCUAUCCCGGCGCCCAAGUCGUAGCUUCUCCAGUAAAGCAUCCUGGCUCUCAACAUCCGGUUUAAAUGUCUCUUGGAAAUGAUGGUUCUUUGCAAUGCCAGGCUUUUCAGAAUGUACUUGUAGUAAAAUAGAUCUCUAUCAUACUGUCCCUGUCCAUCGUGUUAGCCCCUCUUAUGGCUCUACCUUAGACCUUAGAGAAGGUGCGCUCGAUUUACUUACCCAGCUGUCCAGGAAUUACAUUAAUAUUAUUAAUUAGUAUUUCGUGCGCACGUUAUACCUAUUUCGUGGCCAUGAUUUUUUUUUAUUUUUUUGACCAUGAUCACCAGAGGGGCUCCAUAGUCUCAAGACAGAAUUGUCCUAGUCUCUAUGAGGAGGAGUUUAUUAAAGUACAGGAAUUCUAAAUAGCAAAAAAGCAUUUAACACCUAAAAUUCAAAAUGUCUGACUUCUUCAUGGGUAUGGCUUUUUUUGUUACUGACUUCCGAUGUUUAGUACCUGGGGGUGAAACAAACUAAGGUUACUUAGUAUAGAUUUUUUGU
Molecule: long non-coding RNA, 2998 nt
Organism: Scatophagus argus
Lineage: Eukaryota; Metazoa; Chordata; Actinopteri; Scatophagidae
Exons: 3
Source: RefSeq, a predicted model, not a curated record